CUGGAGGUAUCAGAAGUGCGAAUGCUGACAUAAGUAACGAUAAAGCGGGUGAAAAGCCCGCUCGCCGGAAGACCAAGGGUUCCUGUCCAACGUUAAUCGGGGCAGGGUGAGUCGACCCCUAAGGCGAGGCCGAAAGGCGUAGUCGAUGGGAAACAGGUUAAUAUUCCUGUACUUGGUGUUACUGCGAAGGGGGGACGGAGAAGGCUAUGUUGGCCGGGCGACGGUUGUCCCGGUUUAAGCGUGUAGGCUGGUUUUCC
RNAcentral lists this ribosomal RNA (257 nucleotides) under Escherichia coli. RNAcentral describes it as "partial 23S ribosomal RNA". It matches the Rfam family "Bacterial large subunit ribosomal RNA", at positions 1273 to 1534 of the family's 2925-position model. Lineage: Bacteria; Pseudomonadati; Pseudomonadota; Gammaproteobacteria; Enterobacterales; Enterobacteriaceae. The record is from RNAcentral.